This 911-nucleotide ribosomal RNA is filed under the name uncultured archaeon. Its description in RNAcentral is "bacterial SSU rRNA". It matches the Rfam family "Archaeal small subunit ribosomal RNA", at positions 1 to 921 of the family's 1478-position model. The record is from RNAcentral.
UUCCGGUUGAUCCUGCCGGACCCGACUGCUAUCAGAGUGGGACUAAGCCAUGCGAGUCAACAUAGCAAUAUGUGGCAUACGGCUCAGUAACACGUAGUCAACAUGCCCAGGGGACGUGGAUAACCUCGGGAAACUGAGGAUAAACCGCGAUAGGUCAUCACUUCUGGAAUGGGUAAUGACUUAAACCUAUAUGGCCCCUGGAUUGGACUGCGGCCGAUCAGGCUGUUGGUGAGGUAAUGGCCCACCAAACCUGUAACCGGUACGGGCUCUGAGAGGAGGAGCCCGGAGAUGGGCACUGAGACAAGGGCCCAGGCCCUAUGGGGCGCAGCAGGCGCGAAACCUCUGCAAUAGGCGAAAGCUUGACAGGGUUACUCUGAGUGAUUUCCGUUAAGGAGAUCUUUUGGCACCUCUAAAAAUGGUGCAGAAUAAGGGGUGGGCAAGUCUGGUGUCAGCCGCCGCGGUAAUACCAGCACCCCGAGUGGUCGGGACGUUUAUUGGGCCUAAAGCAUCCGUAGCCGGUUCUACAAGUCUUCCGUUAAAUCCACCUGCUUAACAGAUGGGCUGCGGAAGAUACUAUAGAGCUAGGAGGCGGGAGAGGCAAGCGGUACUCGAUGGGUAGGGGUAAAAUCCGUUGAUCCAUUGAAGACCACCAGUGGCGAAGGCGGCUUGCCAGAACGCGCUCGACGGUGAGGGAUGAAAGCUGGGGGAGCAAACCGGAUUAGAUACCCGGGUAGUCCCAGCUGUAAACGAUGCAGACUCGGUGAUGAGUUGGCUUAUUGCUAACUCAGUGCCGCAGGGAAGCCGUUAAGUUUGCCGCCUGGGGAGUACGGUCGCAAGACUGAAACUUAAAGGAAUUGGCGGGGGAGCACCACAAGGGGUGAAGCCUGCGGUUCAAUUGGAGUCAACGCCGG